CACAGAGGUGCAGAGAGGUGACAUAACUUCCCCAACAUCACCUGGCUAGUAAGCAUCAUGGGAGGGGCAGAGCCACAUGCCCCAAGCUUAAGAGGAGACUGUGGGCCCAUCCCAGCCACAAGUCCCAGAAUCCACUGGGGACCGUCAUCCUCUGUGGGGAUUGGGAGGGUUUGGGCAGGAGCACCCCUGGGAAGGGCAGAUUUUAGGGGGUUCUUCUCAGGCUGAACAUGGCCUGGUCUGGUCCACAGGAUCUGUAAUGGUGAAGUCCCCCAUGAACCGGGAGCUGGUUGCCACCUAUGAAGUCACUCUCUCAGUGAUUGACAAUGCCAGCGACCUACCAGAGCGCUCUGUCAGUGUGCCAAAUGCCAAGCUGACUGUCAACAUCCUGGACGUCAAUGACAAUACGCCCCAGUUCAAGCCCUUUGGGAUCACCUACUACAUGGAGCGGAUCCUGGAGGGGGCCACUCCUGGGACCACGCUUAUUGCUGUGGCAGCCGUGGACCCUGACAAGGGCCUUAAUGGGCUGGUCACCUACGCCCUGCUGGACCUGGUGCCCCCAGGCUAUGUCCAGCUGGAGGACUCCUCAGCAGGGAAGGUCAUUGCCAACCGGACAGUGGACUACGAGGAGGUGCACUGGCUCAACUUUACUGUGAGGGCCUCAGACAAUGGGUCCCCGCCCCGGGCAGCUGAAAUCCCUGUCUACCUGGAGAUCGUGGACAUCAAUGACAACAACCCCAUCUUUGACCAGCCCUCCUAUCAGGAGGCUGUCUUUGAGGAUGCGCCUAUGGGCACAAUCAUCCUGACAGUCACUGCCACUGAUGCUGACUCAGGCAACUUUGCACUCAUUGAGUACAGCCUUGGAGAUGGAGAGAGCAAGUUUGCCAUCAACCCCACCACGGGUGACAUCUAUGUGCUGUCUUCUCUGGACCGGGAGAAGAAGGACCACUAUAUCCUGACUGCCUUGGCCAAAGACAACCCUGGGGAUGUAGCCAGCAACCGUCGUGAAAAUUCAGUGCAGGUGGUGAUCCAAGUGCUGGAUGUCAAUGACUGCCGGCCACAGUUCUCCAAGCCCCAGUUCAGCACAAGCGUGUAUGAGAAUGAGCCGGCGGGCACCUCGGUCAUCACCAUGAUGGCCACUGACCAGGAUGAAGGUCCCAAUGGAGAGUUGAUCUACUCACUUGAGGGCCCUGGCGUGGAGGCCUUCCAUGUGGACAUGGACUCGGGCCUGGUGACCACACAGCGGCCACUGCAGUCCUACGAGAGGUUCAAUCUGACCGUGGUGGCCACAGAUGGCGGAGAGCCCCCACUCUGGGGCACCACCAUGCUCCUGGUGGAGGUCAUCGACGUCAAUGACAACCGCCCUGUCUUUGUGCGCCCACCCAACGGCACCAUCCUCCACAUCAGAGAGGAGAUCCCGCUGCGCUCCAACGUGUACGAGGUCUACGCCACGGACAAGGAUGAGGGCCUCAACGGGGCGGUGCGCUACAGCUUCCUGAAGACAGCGGGCAACCGGGACUGGGAGUUCUUCACCAUCGACCCAGUCAGCGGCCUCAUCCAGACUGCUCAGCGCCUGGACCGCGAGAUGCAGGCGGUGUACAGUCUCAUCUUGGUGGCCAGCGACCUGGGCCAGCCGGUGCCAUACGAGACUAUGCAGCCGCUGCAGGUGGCCCUGGAGGACAUCGAUGACAACGAACCCCUCUUCGUGAGGCCUCCAAAAGGCAGCCCCCAGUACCAGCUGCUGACAGUGCCUGAGCACUCACCACGCGGCACCCUCGUGGGCAACGUGACAGGCGCAGUGGAUGCAGAUGAGGGCCCCAAUGCGAUCGUGUACUACUUCAUCGCAGCCGGCAACGAAGAGAAGAACUUCCAUCUGCAGCCUGACGGGCGUCUGCUGGUGCUGCGGGACCUGGACCGGGAGCGAGAAGCCAUCUUCUCCUUCAUCGUCAAGGCCUCCAGCAAUCGCAGCUGGACACCUCCCCGUGGACCCUCCCCAACCCUCGACCUGGUUGCUGACCUCACGCUGCAGGAGGUGCGCGUUGUGCUAGAAGACAUCAACGACCAGCCGCCACGCUUCACCAAGGCUGAGUACACUGCAGGUGCAGGGACUGGAGCCUGGGCACGAGGUGUGGGGUGGCCCCUGCCCUGCCACUUACACCACCUGCCUCUUCCUGCAGGGGUGGCCACCGAUGCCAAGGUGGGCUCAGAGUUGAUCCAGGUGCUGGCCCUGGAUGCAGACAUUGGCAACAACAGCCUUGUCUUCUACAGCAUUCUGGCCAUCCACUACUUCCGGGCCCUUGCCAACGACUCUGAAGAUGUGGGCCAGGUCUUCACCAUGGGGAGCGUGGACGGCAUUCUGCGCACCUUCGACCUCUUCGUGGCCUAUAGCCCCGGCUACUUCGUGGUGGACAUUGUGGCCCGCGACCUGGCAGGCCACAACGACACGGCCAUCAUCGGCAUCUACAUCCUGAGGGACGACCAGCGCGUCAAGAUCGUCAUUAACGAGAUCCCCGACCGUGUGCGCGGCUUCGAGGAGGAGUUCAUCCACCUGCUCUCCAACAUCACUGGGGCCAUUGUCAAUACUGACGAUGUGCAGUUCCAUGUGGACAAGAAGGGCCGGGUGAACUUUGCGCAGACAGAACUGCUCAUCCACGUAGUGAACCGCGAUACCAACCGCAUCCUGGACGUGGACCGGGUGAUCCAGAUGAUCGACGAGAACAAGGAGCAGCUGCGGAAUCUUUUCCGGAACUACAACGUCCUGGACGUGCAGCCUGCCAUCUCUGUCCGGCUGCCGGAUGACAUGUCUGCCCUGCAGGUACCCGGUGACCCUGCCUCACAGCCCUAGCCACCCUCCCCACUGCCCGGGCUCACCCUGGUCCUGCUCCCACAGAUGGCGAUCAUCGUCCUGGCUAUCCUCCUGUUCCUGGCCACCAUGCUCUUCGUCCUCAUGAACUGGUACUACAGGACUGUACACAAGAGGAAGCUCAAGGCCAUUGUGGCUGGCUCAGCUGGGAAUCGUGGCUUCAUCGACAUCAUGGACAUGCCUAACACCAAUAAGUACUCCUUUGAUGGAGCCAAUCCUGUGUGGCUGGAUCCCUUCUGUCGGAACCUGGAGCUGGCCGCCCAGGCGGAGCAUGAGGAUGACCUACCGGAGAACCUGAGUGAGAUCGCCGACCUGUGGAACAGCCCCACACGCACCCACGGAACUUUUGGGCGUGAGCCAGCAGCUGUCAAGCCUGAUGAUGACCGAUACCUGCGGGCUGCCAUCCAGGAGUACGACAACAUUGCCAAGCUGGGCCAGAUCAUUCGUGAGGGGCCAAUCAAGCUGAUCCAGACUGAGCUGGACGAGGAGCCAGGAGACCACAGCCCAGGGCAGGGUAGCCUGCGCUUCCGCCACAAGCCACCAGUGGAGCUCAAGGGGCCCGAUGGGAUCCAUGUGGUGCACGGCAGCACGGGCACACUGCUGGCCACCGACCUCAACAGCCUGCCCGAGGAUGACCAGAAGGGCCUGGGCCGCUCACUGGAGACACUGACCGCUGCCGAGGCCACUGCCUUCGAGCGCAACGCCCGCACAGAAUCCGCCAAAUCCACACCCCUGCACAAACUUCGCGACGUGAUCAUGGAGAGCCCCCUGGAGAUCACAGAGCUGUGACUAGACAGGGAAGCCUCGUGGGUGUGAGCAGCACCCGUCCACCGCCCCGUCCCAGGGAGCAAGGGCAGGGACAGGGCCAGUCGGGGGGUCCCCUCCAAGGCCAGGCCUGGGGGACAACCUUGGCUUAGCCCUGGUGGCCCGCAUCAGCUGCUCAGAUCCCACUUUUGCCAGACGCUCAUUCAGCAUCUGACCUCUACCUUCAUAAGAUCUGUUAUUUUUAUAAGAAAACCAAACAAAAAUGCUAAGCGUCUAAGGACAAGGUAAGGAGGGUCACUGGGGCCCACAAGUCUGGGGACCAGCUUGGCUCAGGCUGAGCUGAAAGAGGCCGAACAGGCCCUCCUCCCUCCCGGCUCCACCCCACAAGCACCAUCCCCUCCGGCUGAGCAGGCGCAAGGGAAGCCCAGAGCGGACAUCCCCUGCUGGCCGGACACCCGACUCCAGUCCAAGUCCCACUACAUUUCCGCCACAUCCCUGCUGGACGUCCAGGUGGAGGUGGCAUCCCCACAUGGACAAGAAAGUCAAUGUCAAUGAACAAGCAUUCUCUCCAUUUCACUGGCUUCCCAAAUGUGCCCAGCUUAUAAACAGAAGUGACUGACGUUCCCUUGGGUUUUG
RNAcentral lists this small RNA (4261 nucleotides) under Pongo abelii (Sumatran orangutan). RNAcentral's name for it is "retained intron". Lineage: Eukaryota; Metazoa; Chordata; Mammalia; Primates; Hominidae. The record is from RNAcentral.